AUGACAUGCAUUUUGGUGGAAUCAAACUGCCCUGUUGGUGCUUUGGAAAAUUCUUCACUUUGGGUCUCUUGAAAGGGGAGAUAAUAUGUACAGGAGAAAUGCGGCCAGCAUUAUACUUUGAGGACAAAAAAGCUCUUAAUCUCUAUACUGGCAAUGAGAUCUGUAGGAAUUCAACUUUCACCAAUAUUACAGUCUACAUUUUGAAGAGGGUUUGUUUCCAGGUCAUUCUACCAAUAUUUAUGUCCUGCGGUUACUGGGGGAAGUAUGCUCAUGCUGGGUGUUAUCGUGAUGGUCUUAAUGUUUUCUAUGGAACUAAAGGCUAUGGAAUCAUAUCAGGGGACUGGGAUUUGUAAAAAAAGGUGAAGCUCAUGGUGUUAUCAGCUGUGUCUAUCCUGGAUGAAGCAGGAGGAAUUAGAGUAUAACAGUUAAACUGUCUGGAGCUUAAUCUUGCAAAAAAGAACCCUUCCCACAGCAGGAAAUUUGGACUCGAGGCAUAUGAAGAUCCGUCCUUGGUAAGAUGAAGAUGAUGAACCAAGUCAUGCUCUUUAGUUUAAAACUGAUUAAAGUAGUAGCGCAAAUCAGCAAAGUGAAGAUAUGUGUUGUACUCCUAUAGCAUCCCUUUGGCUGUCUUAGCUCAACAGGUAGAGCGCAUGGCUUUUAGUCAUGAGGUUGUGGGUUCAACUCCCACAGACAGUGACUGAAUAAAUGCUACAAUGUUGGUAUUUCUGAGAACGUGCUCAGGCUGCUAGGUUCAUGUAAGGUAGGUGAUUCUCCAUUAAAACUUCUGAAACAGAACCAUUAAUAU
This is a long non-coding RNA of Papaver somniferum (opium poppy), 805 nucleotides long. RefSeq lists it as uncharacterized. The transcript is spliced from 5 exons. The record is from RefSeq and is a predicted model, not a curated record. Lineage: Eukaryota; Viridiplantae; Streptophyta; Magnoliopsida; Ranunculales; Papaveraceae.